CAGUAGCCGCGGUAAUACGUAGGUCCCGAGCGUUAUCCGGAUUUAUUGGGCGUAAAGCGAGCGCAGGCGGUUAGAUGAGUCUGAAGUUAAAGGCUGUGGCUUAACCAUAGUACGCUUUGGAAACUGUUUAACUUGAGUGCAGAAGGGGAGAGUGGAAUUCCAUGUGUAGCGGUGAAAUGCGUAGAUAUAUGGAGGAACACCGGUGGCGAAAGCGGCUCUCUGGCUUGUAACUGACGCUGAGGCUCGAAAGCGUGGGGAGCAAACAGGAUUAGAUACCCCGGUAGUCCCUGUCUCUUAUACA
Molecule: ribosomal RNA, 301 nt
Filed under: uncultured bacterium
Lineage: Bacteria
Description: partial 16S ribosomal RNA
Rfam family: Bacterial small subunit ribosomal RNA
Source: RNAcentral